GACGAACGCUGGCGGCGUGCCUAACACAUGCAAGUCGAACGGAAGUAAGAGCUUCGGUUUUUACUUUAGUGGCGAACGGGUGAGUAACGCGUGAGGAACCUGCCUUUCAGUGGGGGACAACAGUUGGAAACGACUGCUAAUACCGCAUAACACUUCUGAGUGGCAUCACUUGGAAGUCAAAGAUUUAUUGCUGAAAGAUGGCCUCGCGUCUGAUUAGCUAGUUGGCGGGGUAACGGCCCACCAAGGCGACGAUCAGUAGCCGGUCUGAGAGGAUGAACGGCCACAUUGGGACUGAGAUACGGCCCAGACUCCUACGGGAGGCAGCAGUGGGGAAUAUUGGGCAAUGGGGGAAACCCUGACCCAGCAACGCCGCGUGAAGGAAGAAGGCCCUCGGGUUGUAAACUUCUUUUACCAGGGACGAAGACGUGACGGUACCUGGAGAAAAAGCAACGGCUAACUACGUG
Molecule: ribosomal RNA, 464 nt
Filed under: uncultured bacterium
Lineage: Bacteria
Description: bacterial SSU rRNA
Rfam family: Bacterial small subunit ribosomal RNA
Source: RNAcentral